This 253-nucleotide ribosomal RNA is filed under the name uncultured bacterium. RNAcentral describes it as "partial 16S ribosomal RNA". It matches the Rfam family "Bacterial small subunit ribosomal RNA", at positions 524 to 776 of the family's 1533-position model. The record is from RNAcentral.
UACGAAGGGGGCUAGCGUUGCUCGGAAUCACUGGGCGUAAAGCGCACGUAGGCGGAUUGUUAAGUCAGGGGUGAAAUCCUGGAGCUCAACUCCAGAACUGCCUUUGAUACUGGCGAUCUUGAGUCCGGGAGAGGUGAGUGGAACUCCGAGUGUAGAGGUGAAAUUCGUAGAUAUUCGCAAGAACACCAGUGGCGAAGGCGGCUCACUGGCCCGAUACUGACGCUGAGGUGCGAAAGCGUGGGGAGCAAACAGG